GCUGCUGUUUGCUCUUCCUGCACAGUAUUUUGUAUCCCAGUGGUAUGGAACAGACUCUUUGAACGCAUCCAAAUAAUAGAGAGGAUCAACUCAAGUUCGUAGUCCAAGGCCUGAAUAUGGUCAGUUCCAUGCGGGACAGGUAAUAAGUCACAAAAGAUUUGGCUAUUCAGGAGUCAUUGUCGGACGGAAUGUAAAAGCUGACACUCCAGAAGAAUGGCUUCAACCCAAAUAUCCUCCAAGGAAACAGGAUCUAAAAAAUACUCCUCACUAUCGAAUUCUAAUUAACAAAGCAAAUGGAUUUGGCAAAUCUACAGCUUACGUUCCUGAGAAGAGAUAAUAAUUAUUAUGGGAUUAGAGGUGCAUCACCCUGAUAUGGAAACCUACUUCAGAGGAUAUGAUGGAUCAAAAUACAUCAUGCAGCCAUGGUUGAAAAAACUCUUAUCCUCAUGACUGAGUACUUCAGUGUCUGUACAUGUAUUAUACAUCCAGACAACAGGUGUCCUUUUUAAACUUGAGCAAACAGACACCAGGAUAAAAUGUAUAAUUUUUCCUAUGAUGAAAUAAAACAU
Long non-coding RNA from Myiozetetes cayanensis, 569 nucleotides. RefSeq lists it as uncharacterized. The transcript is spliced from 4 exons. The record is from RefSeq and is a predicted model, not a curated record. NCBI's taxonomy places the organism in Eukaryota, Metazoa, Chordata, Aves, Passeriformes, Tyrannidae.